RNAcentral lists this ribosomal RNA (423 nucleotides) under uncultured prokaryote. RNAcentral describes it as "partial 16S ribosomal RNA". It matches the Rfam family "Bacterial small subunit ribosomal RNA", at positions 355 to 796 of the family's 1533-position model. The record is from RNAcentral.
UGGGGAAUCUUGGACAAUGGGGGCAACCCUGAUCCAGCGACGCCGCGUGGGUGGUAAGGCCUUCGGGUUGUAAAGCCCUUUCACCGGGGAAGAUGAUGACAUUACCCGGAGAAGAAGCGCCGGCUAACUCCGUGCCAGCAGCCGCGGUAAUACGGAGGGUGCGAGCGUUGUCCGGAUUUAUUGGGUUUAAAGGGUGCGUAGGCGGCUUAUUAAGUCAGUGGUGAAAGGUAUCAGCUUAACUGAUGAAGUGCCAUUGAAACUGAUAGGCUUGAGUACAGACGAGGUAGGCGGAAUUUAUGGUGUAGCGGUGAAAUGCAUAGAUACCAUAAAGAACACCGAUAGCGCAGGCAGCUUACUAGACUGAGACUGACGCUGAGGCACGAAAGCGUGGGGAGCGAACAGGAUUAGAUACCCGCGUAGUCC